UAGUGGCGAACGGGUGAGUAACACGUGGGCAAUCUGCCCUUCACUCUGGGACAAGCCCUGGAAACGGGGUCUAAUACCGGAUACGAGCUUCCCGGGCAUCUGGGAGGUUGGAAAGCUCCGGCGGUGAAGGAUGAGCCCGCGGCCUAUCAGCUUGUUGGUGAGGUAACGGCUCACCAAGGCGACGACGGGUAGCCGGCCUGAGAGGGCGACCGGCCACACUGGGACUGAGACACGGCCCAGACUCCUACGGGAGGCAGCAGUGGGGAAUAUUGCACAAUGGGCGAAAGCCUGAUGCAGCGACGCCGCGUGAGGGAUGACGGCCUUCGGGUUGUAAACCUCUUUCAGCAGGGAAGAAGCGAAAGUGACGGUACCUGCAGAAGAAGCGCCGGCUAACUACGUGCCAGCAGCCGCGGUAAUACGUAGGGCGCAAGCGUUGUCCGGAAUUAUUGGGCGUAAAGAGCUCGUAGGCGGCUUGUCACGUCGAUUGUGAAAGCCCGAGGCUUAACCUCGGGUCUGCAGUCGAUACGGGCUAGCUAGAGUGUGGUAGGGGAGAUCGGAAUUCCU
This 564-nucleotide ribosomal RNA is filed under the name Streptomyces durhamensis. RNAcentral's name for it is "bacterial SSU rRNA". It matches the Rfam family "Bacterial small subunit ribosomal RNA", at positions 93 to 671 of the family's 1533-position model. Lineage: Bacteria; Bacillati; Actinomycetota; Actinomycetes; Kitasatosporales; Streptomycetaceae. The record is from RNAcentral.